Molecule: ribosomal RNA, 468 nt
Filed under: uncultured bacterium
Lineage: Bacteria
Description: partial 16S ribosomal RNA
Rfam family: Bacterial small subunit ribosomal RNA
Source: RNAcentral
GACGAACGCUGGCGGCGUGCUUAACACAUGCAAGUCGAACGAUGAUGCCAGCUUGCUGGUGGAUUAGUGGCGAACGAGUGAGUAACACGUGAGCAACCUGCCCCUGACUGCGGGAUAACCGCGGGCAACCGUGGCUAAUACCGGAUAUGACGCACUAUCGCAUGGAGGUGUGUGGAAGGAUUUAUCGGUCGGGGGGGGACGGGCGGGCUAUCAACCUGUUGGUGGGGGGGUGGCCGACUUAGCCGGCGAUGGAUAGCCGGCCUGCGUGAGUGGGCGGCCAGCCUGGGUGGGACAGACGGCCCAGACUGCUUCCGGAGGGAGCAGUGGGUAAGAUAGCACAAUGGACGGAAGGAUGAUGCAGGGAGGACGCGCGAGGGAGGACUGCCGUCGGGUUGUAAAUCUAUCUCAGUAGCGAAGAAGGACGUCGGGUUGACGGUACCGGGAGAAGAAGCGCCGGCUAACUACGUG